RNAcentral lists this ribosomal RNA (515 nucleotides) under uncultured bacterium. RNAcentral's name for it is "partial 16S ribosomal RNA". It matches the Rfam family "Bacterial small subunit ribosomal RNA", at positions 28 to 523 of the family's 1533-position model. The record is from RNAcentral.
GACGAACGCUGGCGGCGUGCCUAAUACAUGCAAGUCGAGCGGACUUUCAAGAAGCUUGCUUUUUGAAAGUUAGCGGCGGACGGGUGAGUAACACGUGGGCAACCUGCCUGUAAGACGGGGAUAACUCCGGGAAACCGGGGCUAAUACCGGAUAAUAUCUUUCUUCGCAUGAAGGAAGGUUGAAAGGCGGCGCAAGCUGCCGCUUGCAGAUGGGCCCGCGGCGCAUUAGCUAGUUGGUGAGGUAACGGGUCACCAAGGCGACGAGGCGUAGCCGGCCUGAGAGGGUGAUCGGCCACACUGGGACUGAGACACGGCCCAGACGCCUACGGGAGGCAGCAGUAGGGAAUCUUCCGCAAUGGACGAAAGUCUGACGGAGCAACGCCGCGUGAGCGAAGAAGGUCUUCGGAUCGUAAAGCUCUGUUGUCAGGGAAGAACAAGUACCGUUCGAAUAGGGCGGUACCUUGACGGUACCUGACCAGAAAGCCACGGCUAACUACGUGCCAGCCGCCGCCGUAA